CCCUACGGGGCGCACCAGCAAUAGCAGCCCUUACCCCUCCGAACGGCUGAAAUGCAAUGCAAAUCAUCAUAGCCGAUCCCCGAGAAACCCCAGCACGAUGGAACAGAAACUUUCCGGGUCCUGGAACAUCAACCCGUGCCCCGCCCCCGGGACGAUACGCAGAACUGCGUCCGGGAGGCGCCGCGCCAUCAGCCGCGAGUUUUCCGGGGGAACGAUGACAUCCUGGUCCCCGGACAGGAGGAGCGUCGGCAUCCGCAGCCUUUCCAGCCGCUCCAUCGAGCCCUCCCAGUCCUGGAUCGCCUUCUGCUGGAGAGCCGCAGACUCCCCGGGGACCCUGCCCAGGGGGCGGGAAAAGAUUUCACCCACUCGCCUCAGGUUUUCUGCAAGCCACCGUGGCGGGAGGGC
RNAcentral lists this ribosomal RNA (405 nucleotides) under uncultured prokaryote. RNAcentral's name for it is "partial 16S ribosomal RNA". The record is from RNAcentral.